AGUGAACGCUGGCGGUAGGCCUAACACAUGCAAGUCGAACGGCAGCACAGAGGAGCUUGCUCCUUGGGUGGCGAGUGGCGGACGGGUGAGGAAUACAUCGGAAUCUACUCUGUCGUGGGGGAUAACGUAGGGAAACUUACGCUAAUACCGCAUACGACCUACGGGUGAAAGCAGGGGAUCUUCGGACCUUGCGCGAUUGAAUGAGCCGAUGUCGGAUUAGCUAGUUGGCGGGGUAAAGGCCCACCAAGGCGACGAUCCGUAGCUGGUCUGGGAGGAUGAUCAGCCACACUGGAACUGAGACACGGUCCAGACUCCUACGGGAGUCAGCAGUGGGGAAUAUUGGACAAUGGGCGCAAGCCUGAUCCAGCCAUACCGCGUGGGUGAAGAAGGCCUUCGGGUUGUAAAGCCCUUUUGUUGGGAAAGAAAUCCAGCUGGCUAAUACCCGGUUGGGAUGACGGUACCCGAAGAAUAAGCACCGGCUAACUUCGUGCCAGCCGCCGCCGUAA
Molecule: ribosomal RNA, 506 nt
Filed under: uncultured bacterium
Lineage: Bacteria
Description: partial 16S ribosomal RNA
Rfam family: Bacterial small subunit ribosomal RNA
Source: RNAcentral